Long non-coding RNA from Exaiptasia diaphana, 192 nucleotides. RefSeq lists it as uncharacterized. The transcript has 3 exons. The record is from RefSeq and is a predicted model, not a curated record. Lineage: Eukaryota; Metazoa; Cnidaria; Anthozoa; Actiniaria; Aiptasiidae.
AGAUCAUAACCCUGUUCCCAUCAUUGCUAACUUCAUCAUGGACCUUUUUACCUUCAAAAGACAUUCACUCUAUAAAAGACAUCAGUGGAUUAAUGAAAGGUAGCAAGACAUUUAUGGCUGAGGCAAUGAACUUUCUCCUUUCAUUUUUGGAAGAAUCCAGGCAAAGACCAUGUUAUCAGCUAUGCAAAGAGG